UGGGGAAUUUUGGACAAUGGGGGCAACCCUGAUCCAGCCAUCCCGCGUGUGCGAUGAAGGCCUUCGGGUUGUAAAGCACUUUUGGCAGGGAAGAAACAGCCUGGGAUAAUACCCCGGGCGACUGACGGUACCUGCAGAAUAAGCACCGGCUAACUACGUGCCAGCAGCCGCGGUAAUACGUAGGGUGCAAGCGUUAAUCGGAAUUACUGGGCGUAAAGCGUGCGCAGGCGGUUCGGAAAGAAAGGUGUGAAAUCCCAGGGCUUAACCUUGGAACUGCACUUUUAACUACCGAGCUAGAGUACGUCAGAGGGGGGUAGAAUUCCACGUGUAGCAGUGAAAUGCGUAGAGAUGUGGAGGAAUACCGAUGGCGAAGGCAGCCCCCUGGG
This 386-nucleotide ribosomal RNA is filed under the name uncultured bacterium. Its description in RNAcentral is "partial 16S ribosomal RNA". It matches the Rfam family "Bacterial small subunit ribosomal RNA", at positions 355 to 733 of the family's 1533-position model. The record is from RNAcentral.